CGUGUAGGCGGGUACGCAAGUCGGUUGUGAAAUCCCUGGGCUCAACCUAGGAACUGCAUCCGAAACUGUGUGCCUUGAGUAAUGGAGAGGGUGGCGGAAUUCCCGGUGUAGAGGUGAAAUUCGUAGAUAUCGGGAGGAACAUCUGUGGCGAAGGCGGCCACCUGGACAUUUACUGACGCUGAGACGCGAAAGCGUGGGGAGCAAACA
Molecule: ribosomal RNA, 207 nt
Filed under: uncultured bacterium
Lineage: Bacteria
Description: partial 16S ribosomal RNA
Rfam family: Bacterial small subunit ribosomal RNA
Source: RNAcentral